GCGGGGGUUGCCGAGCGGACAAAGGCGCGGGACUGAGGCUCCCGUCCCGAAGGGGUUCGUGGGUUCGAAUCCCACCCCCCGCACCA
RNAcentral lists this transfer RNA (86 nucleotides) under Thermoprotei archaeon. Its description in RNAcentral is "tRNA-Leu". It matches the Rfam family "tRNA". From Rfam's summary of the family: Transfer RNA (tRNA) molecules are approximately 80 nucleotides in length. Their secondary structure includes four short double-helical elements and three loops (D, anti-codon, and T loops). RNAcentral also lists the same sequence under 1 other name. Lineage: Archaea; Thermoproteati; Thermoproteota; Thermoprotei. The record is from RNAcentral.